AUGGCUCAGCUUUUUAGGCGGGGGCACGCCUAACACAUGCAAGUCGAACGGUAUCAGGAAGCAGCUUGCUGCUUUGCUGACGAGUGGCGGACGGGUGAGUAAUGUCUGGGAAACUGCCUGAUGGAGGGGGAUAACUACUGGAAACGGUGGCUAAUACCGCAUAACGUCGCAAGACCAAAGAGGGGGACCUUCGGGCCUCUUGCCAUCAGAUGUGCCCAGAUGGGAUUAGCUUGUUGGUGAGGUAACGGCUCACCAAGGCGACGAUCCCUAGCUGGUCUGAGAGGAUGACCAGCCACACUGGAACUGAGACACGGUCCAGACUCCUACGGGAGGCAGCAGUGGGGAAUAUUGCACAAUGGGCGCAAGCCUGAUGCAGCCAUGCCGCGUGUAUGAAGAAGGCCUUCGGGUUGUAAAGUACUUUCAGCGGGGAGGAAGGUGUUGCGGUUAAUAACCGCAGCAAUUGACGUUACCCGCAGAAGAAGCACCGGCUAACUCCGUGCCAGCAGCCGCGGUAAUACGGAGGGUGCAAGCGUUAAUCGGAAUUACUGGGCGUAAAGCGCACGCAGGCGGUCUGUCAAGUCGGAUGUGAAAUCCCCGGGCUCAACCUGGGAACUGCAUUCGAAACUGGCAGGCUUGAGUCUUGUAGAGGGGGGUAGAAUUCCAGGUGUAGCGGUGAAAUGCGUAGAGAUCUGGAGGAAUACCGGUGGCGAAGGCGGCCCCCUGGACAAAGACUGACGCUCAGGUGCGAAAGCGUGGGGAGCAAACAGGAUUAGAUACCCUGGUAGUCCACGCCGUAAACGAUGUCUACUUGGAGGUUGUGCCCUUGAGGCGUGGCUUCCGGAGCUAACGCGUUAAGUAGACCGCCUGGGGAGUACGGCCGCAAGGUUAAAACUCAAAUGAAUUGACGGGGGCCCGCACAAGCGGUGGAGCAUGUGGUUUAAUUCGAUGCAACGCGAAGAACCUUACCUGGUCUUGACAUCCACAGAAGAAUCCAGAGAUGGAUUUGUGCCUUCGGGAACUGUGAGACAGGUGCUGCAUGGCUGUCGUCAGCUCGUGUUGUGAAAUGUUGGGUUAAGUCCCGCAACGAGCGCAACCCUUAUCCUUUGUUGCCAGCGAUUAGGUCGGGAACUCAAAGGAGACUGCCAGUGAUAAACUGGAGGAAGGUGGGGAUGACGUCAAGUCAUCAUGGCCCUUACGACCAGGGCUACACACGUGCUACAAUGGCGCAUACAAAGAGAAGCGACCUCGCGAGAGCAAGCGGACCUCAUAAAGUGCGUCGUAGUCCGGAUUGGAGUCUGCAACUCGACUCCAUGAAGUCGGAAUCGCUAGUAAUCGUGGAUCAGAAUGCCACGGUGAAUACGUUCCCGGGCCUUGUACACACCGCCCGUCACACCAUGGGAGUGGGUUGCAAAAGAAGUAGGUAGCUUAACCUUCGGGAGGGCGCUUACCACUUUGUGAUUCAUGACUGGGGUGAAGUCGUAACAAGG
RNAcentral lists this ribosomal RNA (1487 nucleotides) under uncultured bacterium. RNAcentral describes it as "bacterial SSU rRNA". It matches the Rfam family "Bacterial small subunit ribosomal RNA". The record is from RNAcentral.